Molecule: transfer RNA, 89 nt
Filed under: Phycisphaerae bacterium
Lineage: Bacteria; Pseudomonadati; Planctomycetota; Phycisphaerae
Description: tRNA-Gly
Source: RNAcentral
UCACCAGCGAGGUCCUGGAGGCCGCGUGCUUCCAGAGCGCCAAGCUCGAAGGGCUCGAGAAGGUCUGUUCGGCCCAAGCGCUGGAGGUC